This 490-nucleotide long non-coding RNA is filed under the name Mytilus galloprovincialis (Mediterranean mussel). The record is from RNAcentral. Lineage: Eukaryota; Metazoa; Mollusca; Bivalvia; Mytilida; Mytilidae.
GACAACAUGAAAAGAAACAACUCCAAAAAAAAUCACAAGGUCUUUAUUUGUAAAACAAAAAAGUGAGAAAGAUGCACUGGCAGUUUAUUGUAAUGAUUCUUUAAAGGAUUUGUGCCAUUUCAUCAAUUUCUUUAAAAGCAGCAAAUUAAUAUGUUCCAUGGAAAUUAAAUACUUGGCUUUCAGCUCCACUUUUUUUUUGCAGUUUACAUUUAAAAAAGAGUAAAGUCUUUUGGAAGGAGGUUAGGGGGUCAGUCAAUAGCUUUUGAAAUAUUAAUCAAUACAAAGUAUAACACAUAAAUUCUGUUUAGGAAAUACACCCUUAUUUAAAUCAUUUAUAUUUUCAAACAAUCAUUUAAUGAACAACACAAUAAACUUGAGAUCAAAUGAGUCGACAUUAAAAGCUGAAAACCAUUUAUAGACAUUUUCUAAACAUGGACAUGCUAUAACCUACAAUUUAAGACCACCUUCUAAUGAGAAAAUUAAAAAACAC